This 433-nucleotide ribosomal RNA is filed under the name uncultured bacterium. RNAcentral describes it as "partial 16S ribosomal RNA". It matches the Rfam family "Bacterial small subunit ribosomal RNA", at positions 29 to 507 of the family's 1533-position model. The record is from RNAcentral.
AACGAACGCUGGCGGCAUGCCUAACACAUGCAAGUCGAACGAGACCUUCGGGUCUAGUGGCGCACGGGUGCGUAACGCGUGGGAACCUGCCCUUAGGUUCGGAAUAACUCCCCGACAGGGGUGCUAAUACCGGAUAAUGUCUUCGGACCAAAGAUUUAUCGCCUUUGGAUGGGCCCGCGUUGGAUUAGCUAGUUGGUAGGGUAAAAGCCUACCAAGGCGACGAUCCAUAGCUGGUCUGAGAGGAUGAUCAGCCACACUGGGACUGAGACACGGCCCAGACUCCUACGGGAGGCAGCAGUGGGGAAUAUUGGACAAUGGGCGAAAGCCUGAUCCAGCAAUGCCGCGUGAGUGAUGAAGGCCUUAGGGUUGUAAAGCUCUUUUAACCGGGAUGAUAAUGACAGUACCGGGAGAAUAAGCUCCGGCUAACUCCGUG